RNAcentral lists this ribosomal RNA (443 nucleotides) under uncultured bacterium. Its description in RNAcentral is "SSU rRNA". It matches the Rfam family "Bacterial small subunit ribosomal RNA", at positions 26 to 518 of the family's 1533-position model. The record is from RNAcentral.
AGAGCGAACGCUGGCGGCAGGCUUAACACAUGCAAGUCGAGCGCCCCGCAAGGGGAGCGGCAGACGGGUGAGUAACGCGUGGGAACGUACCUUUGGUUCGGAACAACACAGGGAAACUUGUGCUAAUACCGGAUAAGCCCUUACGGGGAAAGAUUUAUCGCCGAAAGAUCGGCCCGCGUCUGAUUAGCUAGUUGGUGAGGUAACGGCUCACCAAGGCGACGAUCAGUAGCUGGUCUGAGAGGAUGAUCAGCCACAUUGGGACUGAGACACGGCCCAAACUCCUACGGGAGGCAGCAGUGGGGAAUAUUGGACAAUGGGCGCAAGCCUGAUCCAGCCAUGCCGCGUGAGUGAUGAAGGCCCUAGGGUUGUAAAGCUCUUUUGUGCGGGAAGAUAAUGACGGUACCGCAAGAAUAAGCCCCGGCUAACUUCGUGCCAGCAGCCGC